UUGAAAUAUUUGUUGCUCAUUUACAAUAUUUAUAUUAUUUGAUUUAAAAAGAUUGAUCAACUUAAGCAUAAUCUGUUUAGGUGUGUGGGUAUGCCAAUUCUCAAAGAAAGUGAAAAGUUAAAGCAAAAGACAAUCCCAUUCCUAUGGAACGUUAAAUAUCUCUUUUGAUGGACUGGAUCUUGGACGUAUCUUAUUCUUGUGAUAUUAUAUAGAUUACAUAAUUUUUUGUACAUAUAGUUAAGGACAGCACCUAUAAUUUUAGUUGAAAAGGUCUUUUCUUCUUACCAUAGUACAAUAAUAGUUAUUCUGGUUAGCUAUGUUGCCGAUGUACAUAGCAGAGGUUCUAAG
RNAcentral lists this unclassified non-coding RNA (348 nucleotides) under Hevea brasiliensis (rubber tree). The record is from RNAcentral. Lineage: Eukaryota; Viridiplantae; Streptophyta; Magnoliopsida; Malpighiales; Euphorbiaceae.